Molecule: ribosomal RNA, 440 nt
Filed under: uncultured bacterium
Lineage: Bacteria
Description: partial 16S ribosomal RNA
Rfam family: Bacterial small subunit ribosomal RNA
Source: RNAcentral
CCUACGGGAGGCAGCAGUGGGGGAUAUUGCACAAUGGGGGAAACCCUGAUGCAGCGACGCCGCGUGUGGGAAGACGGUCCUAUGGUUUGUAAACCACUGUCCCCAGGGACGAAGAUGACGGUACCUUGGGAGGAAGCCCCGGCUAACUACGUGCCAGCAGUCGCGGUAAUACGGAGGGAGCGAGCGUUGUCCGGAAUUACUGGGUGUAACGGGAGCGUAGGCGGGGAUGUAAGUUGGGUGUCAAAACUACCGGCUCAACUGGUAGUCGCACUCAAAACUGGAGCUCUUGAGUGAAGGAGAGGCAGGCGGAAUUCCUGGUGUAGCGGUGAAAUGCGUAGAUAUUAGGAGGAACACCAGUGGCGAAGGCGGCCUGCUGGGCUUUUACUGACGCUGAGGCUCGAAAGUGUGGGGAGCAAACAGGAUUAGAUACCCUGGUAGUC